RNAcentral lists this ribosomal RNA (240 nucleotides) under Clostridioides difficile. RNAcentral describes it as "partial 16S ribosomal RNA". It matches the Rfam family "Bacterial small subunit ribosomal RNA", at positions 197 to 439 of the family's 1533-position model. The record is from RNAcentral. Lineage: Bacteria; Bacillati; Bacillota; Clostridia; Peptostreptococcales; Peptostreptococcaceae.
AAUAUCAAAGGUGAGCCAGUACAGGAUGGACCCGCGUCUGAUUAGCUAGUUGGUAAGGUAACGGCUUACCAAGGCGACGAUCAGUAGCCGACCUGAGAGGGUGAUCGGCCACCUUGGAACUGAGACACGGUCCAAACUCCUACGGGAGGCAGCAGUGGGGAAUAUUGCACAAUGGGCGAAAGCCUGAUGCAGCAACGCCGCGUGAGUGAUGAAGGCCUUCGGGUCGUAAAACUCUGUCCU